RNAcentral lists this ribosomal RNA (329 nucleotides) under Staphylococcus aureus. RNAcentral's name for it is "bacterial SSU rRNA". It matches the Rfam family "Bacterial small subunit ribosomal RNA", at positions 20 to 338 of the family's 1533-position model. The record is from RNAcentral. Lineage: Bacteria; Bacillati; Bacillota; Bacilli; Caryophanales; Staphylococcaceae.
UGGCUCAGGAUGAACGCUGGCGGCGUGCCUAAUACAUGCAAGUCGAGCGAACGGACGAGAAGCUUGCUUCUCUGAUGUUAGCGGCGGACGGGUGAGUAACACGUGGAUAACCUACCUAUAAGACUGGGAUAACUUCGGGAAACCGGAGCUAAUACCGGAUAAUAUUUUGAACCGCAUGGUUCAAAAGUGAAAGACGGUCUUGCUGUCACUUAUAGAUGGAUCCGCGCUGCAUUAGCUAGUUGGUAAGGUAACGGCUUACCAAGGCAACGAUGCAUAGCCGACCUGAGAGGGUGAUCGGCCACACUGGAACUGAGACACGGUCCAGACUC